CGUUGAUUACGUCCCUGCCCUUUGUACACACCGCCCGUCGCUACUACCGAUUGAAUGGCUUAGUGAGUCCUUCGGAUUGCUGUCUGGGAGCUGGCAACAGCAUUCGGGUGAUGAGAAGUUGGGCAAACUUGGUCAUUUAGAGGAAGUAAAAGUCGUAACAAGG
Molecule: ribosomal RNA, 163 nt
Filed under: Agaricostilbaceae sp.
Lineage: Eukaryota; Fungi; Basidiomycota; Agaricostilbomycetes; Agaricostilbales; Agaricostilbaceae
Description: partial small subunit ribosomal RNA
Rfam family: Eukaryotic small subunit ribosomal RNA
Source: RNAcentral